GGGUUGUGAGGUUAAGCGACUAAGCGUACACGGUGGAUGCCCUGGCAGUCAGAGGCGAUGAAGGACGUGCUAAUCUGCGAUAAGCGCCGGUAAGGUGAUAUGAACCGUUAUAACCGGCGAUUUCCGAAUGGGGAAACCCAGUGUGAUUCGUCACACUAUCAUUAACUGAAUCCAUAGGUUAAUGAGGCGAACCGGGGGAACUGAAACAUCUAAGUACCCCGAGGAAAAGAAAUCAACCGAGAUUCCCCCAGUAGCGGCGAGCGAACGGGGAGGAGCCCAGAGCCUGAAUCAGCAUGUGUGUUAGUGGAAGCGUCUGGAAAGGCGCGCGAUACAGGGUGACAGCCCCGUACACAAAAGCGCAUGUGCUGUGAGCUCGAUGAGUAGGGCGGGACACGUGGUAUCCUGUCUGAAUAUGGGGGGACCAUCCUCCAAGGCUAAAUACUCCUGACUGACCGAUAGUGAACCAGUACCGUGAGGGAAAGGCGAAAAGAACCCCGGCGAGGGGAGUGAAAAAGAACCUGAAACCGUGUACGUACAAGCAGUGGGAGCCCCACCACUAAGCCAGUGGUGAACUCCACAUACGCAUCCUUUGCUGAGGAUACGGUUAACGGAGCGAAAGCGACGUUCAACCUCAAAAGAAGCAGAGGGGGCUUAGUGGUGGGGUGACUGCGUACCUUUUGUAUAAUGGGUCAGCGACUUAUAUUCUGUAGCAAGGUUAACCGUAUAGGGGAGCCGGAGGGAAACCGAGUCUUAAUUGGGCGUUAAGUUGCAGGGUAUAGACCCGAAACCCGGUGAUCUAGCCAUGGGCAGGUUGAAGGUUGGGUAACACUAACUGGAGGACCGAACCGACUAAUGUUGAAAAAUUAGCGGAUGACCUGUGGCUGGGGGUGAAAGGCCAAUCAAACCGGGAGAUAGCUGGUUCUCCCCGAAAGCUAUUUAGGUAGCGCCUCGUGAAUUCAUCUUCGGGGGUAGAGCACUGUUUCGGCUAGGGGGUCAUCCCG
Molecule: ribosomal RNA, 1001 nt
Filed under: Salmonella enterica
Lineage: Bacteria; Pseudomonadati; Pseudomonadota; Gammaproteobacteria; Enterobacterales; Enterobacteriaceae
Also listed under: 2 other names
Description: bacterial LSU rRNA
Rfam family: Bacterial large subunit ribosomal RNA
Source: RNAcentral